RNAcentral lists this ribosomal RNA (1253 nucleotides) under human oral metagenome. Its description in RNAcentral is "bacterial LSU rRNA". It matches the Rfam family "Bacterial large subunit ribosomal RNA", at positions 1698 to 2925 of the family's 2925-position model. The record is from RNAcentral.
AUCAUGGUUAAGGAACUCGGCAAAAUGCCCCCGUAACUUCGGGAGAAGGGGGGCCCUGAGCGUGAUCUGCCCGUGCGGUGGGGAGCGUGUAGGGGUCGCAGAGACCAGGGGGAAGCGACUGUUUAUCAAAAACACAGGUCCGUGCGAAGUCGUAAGACGAUGUAUACGGACUGACUCCUGCCCGGUGCUGGAAGGUUAAGAGGAUUGGUUAGCCCUUUUUGGGCGAAGCUGAGAAUUUAAGCCCCAGUAAACGGCGGUGGUAACUAUAACCAUCCUAAGGUAGCGAAAUUCCUUGUCGGGUAAGUUCCGACCUGCACGAAUGGCGUAACGACUUCUCCGCUGUCUCGACCACGAACUCGGUGAAAUUGCAGUACGAGUAAAGAUGCUCGUUUCGCGCAGCAGGACGGAAAGACCCCGUGACCUUUACUAUAGUUUGGUAUUGGUGUUUGGUUUGGCUUGUGUAGGAUAGGUGGGAGACUGUGAAGCAUGGACGCUAGUUUGUGUGGAGUCGUUGUUGAAAUACCACUCUGGUCAAUCUGGAUGUCUAACUUCGGGCCAUGAUCUGGUUCAGGGACAGUGCCUGAUGGGUAGUUUAACUGGGGCGGUUGCCUCCUAAAGUGUAACGGAGGCGCCCAAAGGUUCCCUCAGCCUGGUUGGCAAUCAGGUGUUGAGUGUAAGUGCACAAGGGAGCUUGACUGUGAGACUGGCAGGUCGAGCAGGGACGAAAGUCGGGACUAGUGAUCCGGCGGUACGUUGUGGAACGGCCGUCGCUCAACGGAUAAAAGGUACCUCGGGGAUAACAGGCUGAUCUUGCCCAAGAGUCCAUAUCGACGGCAUGGUUUGGCACCUCGAUGUCGGCUCGUCGCAUCCUGGGGCUGGAGUCGGUCCCAAGGGUUGGGCUGUUCGCCCAUUAAAGCGGUACGCGAGCUGGGUUCAGAACGUCGUGAGACAGUUCGGUCCCUAUCCGCUGCGCGCGUUGGAAAUUUGAGAAAGGCUGUCCUUAGUACGAGAGGACCGGGACGGACGAACCUCUGGUAUGUCAGUUGUACCGCCAGGUGCAUGGCUGAUUGGCUACGUUCGGGAGGGAUAACCGCUGAAAGCAUCUAAGCGGGAAGCCUGUUUCGAGAUGAGAUUUCCUGGCACUUUGGUGUGUGAGGCUCCUUAUAGAUGAUGAGGUUGAUAGGCCGGGUAUGGAAGCGGGGACUGAAGACUCGUGGAGUUGACUGGUACUAAUAGGCCGAAGGCUUACUUUU